AAGACGAUACUUUCAGGGAUCAUUUCUAUAGUGUCCAACUAGAGAAGUGCAUUCGAAAGUGUUCGGUCUCGCCAGCCACGAGGAGGAGGUGAAGCGUCCUCUCCUGAGCAGGAAGCAGGCAGGGGGUGCUACUGGGUGGUAGCUGCUCUCCUGUUCUUGAUGACUGUUCUGCCUACUCCUUUGGAGAAGGUCGGAGGGGGAGGGCGCGGUCUGAGUGGU
Small nucleolar RNA from Euleptes europaea (tarantolino), 219 nucleotides. RefSeq annotates it as small nucleolar RNA U3. Lineage: Eukaryota; Metazoa; Chordata; Lepidosauria; Squamata; Sphaerodactylidae. The transcript has a single exon. The record is from RefSeq and is a predicted model, not a curated record.